UACGUAGGUGGCAAGCGUUGUCCGGAUUUAUUGGGUUUAAAGGGUGCGUAGGCGGUUCAAUAAGUCAGUGGUGAAAUACGGCAGCUCAACUGUCGAGGUGCCAUUGAUACUGUUGGACUUGAGUACAGACGAGGUAGGCGGAAUUGACGGUGUAGCGGUGAAAUGCUUAGAUAUCGUCAAGAACACCGAUAGCGAAGGCAGCUUACUAGGCUGUAACUGACGCUGAGGAACGAAAGCCAGGGGAGCGAAUGGG
RNAcentral lists this ribosomal RNA (253 nucleotides) under uncultured bacterium. RNAcentral describes it as "partial 16S ribosomal RNA". It matches the Rfam family "Bacterial small subunit ribosomal RNA", at positions 524 to 776 of the family's 1533-position model. The record is from RNAcentral.